CUCACCCGGGGGUUUUUUUUUUUUUUUUAGGUUUUUGUUUGUGGCUCUCGAACUUGCCUGAUCCACAAAUUCAACUUUGACCUUUAUAUCUCCUCCUUGGCUUCUGUUUCUGUCUCUGACCUGUUCAACUUCAAUUGAGCUUGAAAGAUUGAGAAACAGAAGGUUGGAGGAUUGGAUGAUCAAGUAUUAACCCAUUUUGAAAGAAAAGGUAAACCAUGAAAAUCCCAAAGUGAUAUCCCAUGACCUACAACUAUUUUCUUAUCGGUCAAAUCAUUAUUGGAAGCCUACUCGGAGUCUCCAUCUCUUGGAAGAGUUGUAUUAAUUUGCGUUUGGUUGGAAAGGCUGCAGAGAUUUGAUUCAAAUUGGUGGAUUUGGAUAACUCAAUUUCAAUUAGAGAAAGACGAAGAGAAGAACUGGAUUCAUAUCUGAGGAUUUGGCGUCACUUUGAAAGAAUUGCUGAAAAAAGAAGAGUUCAGCAAUGAAUACUUUGAGGUUUGUGAUUCUAUGUUUCAGUUUGUAGGAACUAGCUGAAACCGAAAACCUCCACAUAAUGAAGAUGAAGAUGAGCCGGAAACAGUGAAGUAGGAAAAUCAAGAUUAUGUAACAUGUUCAUAGUCUAUUGAACUAUUUCUAAUAAUCAGCAUUUAAUCUUUUGAUCAUUGUAAUGUGUUGCUCAUUUAUCUUCUCAAACACCAGACAUGUAAAUAUUGAUUUAUUCAAAACUUAUUUAUAUAUUAA
Long non-coding RNA from Malus domestica (apple), 738 nucleotides. RefSeq lists it as uncharacterized. NCBI's taxonomy places the organism in Eukaryota, Viridiplantae, Streptophyta, Magnoliopsida, Rosales, Rosaceae. The record is from RefSeq and is a predicted model, not a curated record.